RNAcentral lists this unclassified non-coding RNA (439 nucleotides) under Hevea brasiliensis (rubber tree). Lineage: Eukaryota; Viridiplantae; Streptophyta; Magnoliopsida; Malpighiales; Euphorbiaceae. The record is from RNAcentral.
UCUAUCAGUUAUAAGUGCACAGUACUGGUUAAAUGAUAUUGUACUUAAAAGUUUGUUUAAACAGAAAGAGCAGAAAAGGCAUAAAUUGAUAGUAUAUCAGCAACCAUAUACAGUCUUUGAUUGACCUCUGAGAGAAGUUAUACAUGUCAUUAAUAGAAAGGAGAAAUCAUUGAUAAGUGAUGCAUCUUGAUAAAUAAUAAAUAUGAGAACAACUAAAGGAAUGAAAUCAUGAACAACUACAGGAAUGAAAUCAUGACCAGUCGUUGAUCAACCACAAAACUCGCUCUAAACCUUGGCUGAUAAAAAACAGUUGACAGAUGAAGCAUAUUGGCAAUAUGGCACUCAUCAACAAACAUGGACUUGGCAUCUUGAACAGAAACAAAAGAAACUGGAAUGCAUACUGAAAUCAAUCUCCUCAGAAAAUAACCAUGGAUGUCAG